RNAcentral lists this ribosomal RNA (840 nucleotides) under Triticum aestivum (bread wheat). RNAcentral describes it as "partial small subunit ribosomal RNA". The record is from RNAcentral. Lineage: Eukaryota; Viridiplantae; Streptophyta; Magnoliopsida; Poales; Poaceae.
AUGCCGUUGUCCGACUCGAAGCUUCGCAAGGUGGACUACCAGCCAGCGCUUGACAAACUAUGCAGCAAGCUGAAGGGUUGGAUUAGAAUUCACUUCUCCAUGGAUGGCCGAAUUCUGUUGGUAAAGCAUGUGCUCUCUGCUAUAGUGGUGUUUCAGAUGAUGGUCAUUGAGAUGCCUGCGUGGCUGCGGAAAAGAAUUGACGGACUCAGAAGGGGUGUUCUUUGGGAAGGAAAAGAAUUUGCAGUGGGGGGCAAGUGUUUGGUUAGCUGGCGCAUCAUUUGCAGUCCAAUCAAAUUUGGAGGGCUGGGGAUGACAGACCUGAGUGCGCAGAGCACAACGCUGAGGAUGAGGUGGUUGUGGCUUUCAUGGACGGACCCGAGCAGAGCCUGGUUGGGACUACCACUGCCGACCGAUGCCAGAGUACGCGCAUUGUUCGUGGCUUCAGUUAACUUCCACCUCGGGGAUGGGCAACGCAUUUGCUUCUGGACUGAACCUUGGAUGCAAGGGAUGAGCUUCUGCCACCGCUUCCCGGCUCUGUUUGGCGUCUGCACACGGAAGCGCCUAACGGUGGCUCAGGCACUCAUCGGCGAUCGAUGGACACGUCAUCUCAGGGGAGGUCUCAUGCCGCAGGCGAUCAGAGAGUUCACCGCCUUGUGGAUGCUAUUACAGGACGUCAUGCUGGGCCAGCAGCAGGACACGAUUUCUUGGCGGUGGACGGCAAACGGCGAAUUCUCCUCUCAUUCUGCCUAUACAGUCCAGUUUGAGGGAUCAGUGCGGACGAGCUACAAGCAACUGAUCUGGCAGUCGGAGGCACCACUGAAAUGCAAAGUGUUCUCUUGA